GAAGACCCAGCUCAGAACUCUGACGAACACAAACAUUUCAGGGAGGAAGAGGAACCCAGAGGAAGUCACAAAGAGAGGAGUUUAAGAGGUGAGAGCAGCGUCACAGAAGCCAUGGGAGAGCUUUUCAAGACUAGAGGUGAUUUCUGCUGACAGGGUCACAGCGGAGCCUGAAACACGUCCAUCAGAUUUAUCAAUGUGAACGUCAUCGGUGACGUUGGCAGGAGCAGUUAGUAACUCAAUAAUGUCGGAAGCCACAAAGUGUGGAAGAGGGAAAGGUUCCAUGGUCUGCAGCUAAGAACCUUAACCAAUAACACAGCGAGUCACUCCAGAUACGGUUGCAGUAACUGACCCUCCAGGGUGCGAGAGUCUCGCCUGGGAAUGGGAUUGGCCAUCUGACCUGGCUGGGUGUGAAGGUGAUGAAGAUCCUACUAGUGCUGGGGAUAUUGUUACCGGCAACAUUCUUGUCAUAUGUCUUCUGAUGUGCGUGGCAAAAAUUUCUCUUGGACACAAGAAGAAGAUGACCUUCUGCAAGCCAGGAAGAGGACUCACCAAGAACUGAAUCUGCCAGCACCUUGAUCUUGGACUUCCUGGCCUCCAGCACUGAGAAAUGAACAUCUGAAAUUUGAGCCACUCAGUCUAUGGUAUUUUUUAUAGCAGCCCAAGCAGAC
This 668-nucleotide long non-coding RNA is filed under the name Equus caballus (horse). RNAcentral's name for it is "lncRNA (ENSECAG00000048820.1)". The record is from RNAcentral. Lineage: Eukaryota; Metazoa; Chordata; Mammalia; Perissodactyla; Equidae.